Molecule: ribosomal RNA, 380 nt
Filed under: uncultured bacterium
Lineage: Bacteria
Description: bacterial SSU rRNA
Rfam family: Bacterial small subunit ribosomal RNA
Source: RNAcentral
GUGCCUAAUACAUGCAAGUCGAGCGAACAGAUGAGGAGCUUGCUCCUCUGACGUUAGCGGCGGACGGUUGAGUAACACGUGGAUAACCUACCUAUAAGACUGGGAUAACUUCGGGAAACCGGAGCUAAUACCGGAUAAUAUAUUGAACCGCAUGGUUCAAUAGUGAAAGACGGUUUUGCUGUCACUUAUAGAUGGAUCCGCGCCGCAUUAGCUAGUUGGUAAGGUAACGGCUUACCAAGGCAACGAUGCGUAGCCGACCUGAGAGGGUGAUCGGCCACACUGGAACUGAGACACGGUCCAGACUCCUACGGGAGGCAGCAGUAGGGAAUCUUCCGCAAUGGGCGAAAGCCUGACGGAGCAACGCCGCGUGAGUGAUGAAG